CCUACGGGAGGCAGCAGUGAGGAAUAUUGGUCAAUGGGCGCGAGCCUGAACCAGCCAAGUCGCGUGAGGGAAGACGGUCCUAUGGAUUGUAAACCUCUUUUGUCGGGGAGCAAAAGACGGCACGUGUGGCGUUCCGAGAGUACCCGAAGAAAAAGCAUCGGCUAACGCCGUGCCAGCAGCCGCGGUAAUACGGAGGAUGCGAGCGUUAUCCGGAUUUAUUGGGUUUAAAGGGUGCGCAGGCGGAAGAUCAAGUCAGCGGGAAAAUUGAGAGGCUCAACCUCGUCGAGCCGUUGAAACUGGUUUUCUUGAGUGCGCGAGAAGUAUGCGGACUGCGUGGUGUAGCGGUGAAAUGCAUAGAUCUCACGCAGAACUCCGAUUGCGAAGGCAGCAUACCGGCGCUCAACUGACGCUCAUGCACGAACGUGUGGGUAUCGAACAGGAUUCGAUCCCCGGGUAGUC
Molecule: ribosomal RNA, 459 nt
Filed under: uncultured bacterium
Lineage: Bacteria
Description: partial 16S ribosomal RNA
Rfam family: Bacterial small subunit ribosomal RNA
Source: RNAcentral